This 806-nucleotide long non-coding RNA is filed under the name Mus musculus (house mouse). Its description in RNAcentral is "long non-coding RNA chr2:121778615-121779421". Lineage: Eukaryota; Metazoa; Chordata; Mammalia; Rodentia; Muridae. The record is from RNAcentral.
AACAAACCUAUGUCACCUAGGAAGAGGGACCUCAACCAAAGCCAUUGCUUUGAUCAAACUGGCAGGUGGCCAUGUCUAUGAGGUAUUUUCUUAAUUGCUAAUUGAUGUAGGCAGGCCUAGCCCACUGUGGGCAGUGCCAUCAGGUGGUCCUGAGCUGUGUAAGAAAACUAGCUGAGCUAGCCAAUAAGCAUUGCUCCUCCAUGGUGUCUGCAUCAGCUCCUGCCUCCACACCUGAGUUCCUGGAUUAGCGAACUGUACCCAGUUCUCUAAAAUUAACCCUUUCUCUGCCAGAUUGCUGCUGGUUGUGUGGUUAUCAUAGUAACAGAAACCAAACUAGAAUAGAGUUUGACUAUAAAGGAUGGGAAGAGCCCGCGAUGCCUCUCAGGGUUUGUUCUGGAUACCAGGAAAACGAGAAGCAUCAGGUGCACCAGGAACACAUGGCUUCUGCUUUGAUCUGCCAACUUUGACUCCUUGUAUACAGAGGACCAAGAUCAGCAGCUAACAGGUGAUUUCUUGAGUGGAUCUGUUUACUCCAUGCUAUUUUGAAGGCCCCAAAACAAAGAAGAGCACUGAUCCAAGGAGAAAGACAUGUUUUCCAUCUUUAAACAAAACCAGAACUUACAUAUCACUAUGAAAAUGAGGGGCUUCGGUAGACUGGAUAUAGUCCAGCAAGGACCUGUUGAAUUUUGUCAAAUGCCUUUUCUGCAUCUUUUGAGAUGAUCAUGUCAUUUCUGUUCUUAAGACUGCUCAUAUGGUGUACUGCAUUUAUUGAUUUGGAUAUAUUAAAUGCAUUUUGCAUCCCUGGG